RNAcentral lists this ribosomal RNA (294 nucleotides) under uncultured bacterium. RNAcentral's name for it is "partial 16S ribosomal RNA". It matches the Rfam family "Bacterial small subunit ribosomal RNA", at positions 335 to 644 of the family's 1533-position model. The record is from RNAcentral.
AUUCCUACGGGAGGCAGCAGUGGGGAAUAUUGCGCAAUGGGGGCAACCCUGACGCAGCAACGCCGCGUGAUUGAAGAAGGCCUUCGGGAUGUAAAGAUCUUUAAACAGGGACGAAGAAAUGACGGUACCUGAAGAAUAAGCUCCGGCUAACUACGUGCCAGCAGCCGCGGUAAUACGUAGGGAGCAAGCGUUAUCCGGAUUUACUGGGUGUAAAGGGCGUGUAGGCGGGCCUGUCAGUCAGAAGUGAAAUCUGGGGGCUGCACCCCCCAACUGCUUUUGAAACUGCGGGGCUUG